RNAcentral lists this ribosomal RNA (46 nucleotides) under Tribulus terrestris. RNAcentral describes it as "partial 28S ribosomal RNA". The record is from RNAcentral. Lineage: Eukaryota; Viridiplantae; Streptophyta; Magnoliopsida; Zygophyllales; Zygophyllaceae.
CCCCAGGUCAGGCGGGAUCACCCGCUGAGCUUAAGCAUAUCAAUAG